UAAGGCAAUUAUAGCGUAAGGGCUCCACCUCAUCCCAUUCCGAACUGAGAAGUUAAACCUUACAUCGCCGAUGGUACUGCCAACGCGGGAGAGUAGGAAGUUGCCACUU
This 109-nucleotide ribosomal RNA is filed under the name Bacteroidales bacterium. Lineage: Bacteria; Pseudomonadati; Bacteroidota; Bacteroidia; Bacteroidales. The record is from RNAcentral.